GACGAACGCUGGCGGCGUGCUUAACACAUGCAAGUCGAACGGAAAGGCCCUGCUUUUGUGGGGUGCUCGAGUGGCGAACGGGUGAGUAACACGUGAGUAACCUGCCCUUGACUUUGGGAUAACUUCAGGAAGCUGGGGCUAAUACCGGAUAGGAGCUCCUGCUGCAUGGUGGGGGUUGGAAAGUUUCGGCGGUUGGGGAUGGACUCGCGGCUUAUCAGCUUGUUGGUGGGGUAGUGGCUUACCAAGGCUUUGACGGGUAGCCGGCCUGAGAGGGUGACCGGCCACAUUGGGACUGAGAUACGGCCCAGACUCCUACGGGAGGCAGCAGUGGGGAAUAUUGCACAAUGGGCGGAAGCCUGAUGCAGCAACGCCGCGUGCGGGAUGACGGCCUUCGGGUUGUAAACCGCUUUCGCCUGUGACGAAGCGUGAGUGACGGAAAUGGGUAAAGAAGCACCGGCUAACUACGUG
Molecule: ribosomal RNA, 468 nt
Filed under: uncultured bacterium
Lineage: Bacteria
Description: partial 16S ribosomal RNA
Rfam family: Bacterial small subunit ribosomal RNA
Source: RNAcentral